GAUGAACGCUGGCGGCAUGCCUAAUACAUGCAAGUCGAACGAGAGGAAGGAAAGCUUGCUUUUCUGAAUCUAGUGGCGAACGGGUGAGUAACACGUAGGUAACCUGCCCAUGUGCCCGGGAUAACUUCUGGAAACGGAUGCUAAAACCGGAUAGGUAGCAGACAAGCAUUUGACUGCUAUUAAAGUGGCUAAGGCCAUGAACAUGGAUGGACCUGCGGUGCAUUAGCUAGUUGGUGAGGUAACGGCCCACCAAGGCGACGGUGCAUAGCCGGGCGGAGAGGGCGGACGGCCACAUUGGGACUGAGACACGGCCCAGACUCCUACGGGAGGCAGCAGUAGGGAAUUUUCGUCAAUGGGGGGAACCCUGAACGAGCAAUGCCGCGUGAGUGAGGAAGGUCUUCGGAUCGUAAAGCUCUGUUGUAAGAGAAAAACGACAUUCAUAGGGAAUGAUGAGUGAGUGAUGGUAUCUUACCAGAAAGUCACGGCUAACUACGUGCCAGCCGCCGCCGUAA
Molecule: ribosomal RNA, 512 nt
Filed under: uncultured bacterium
Lineage: Bacteria
Description: partial 16S ribosomal RNA
Rfam family: Bacterial small subunit ribosomal RNA
Source: RNAcentral